RNAcentral lists this transfer RNA (73 nucleotides) under Capra hircus (goat). It matches the Rfam family "tRNA". Rfam says of the family: Transfer RNA (tRNA) molecules are approximately 80 nucleotides in length. The record is from Rfam by way of RNAcentral. RNAcentral also lists the same sequence under 1 other name. Lineage: Eukaryota; Metazoa; Chordata; Mammalia; Artiodactyla; Bovidae.
UCCCUGGUGGUCCAGGGGCUAAGACUCUGUGCUCCCAAUGCAGGGAGCCCAGGUUCAAUCCCUGCUCAGGGAA